ACUCUUAUUUUCUUUUUCUCGAGAAAAAACCCUAACCAUUGUACUGAUUCCCCAAAUGAAGCCUCACAGUUCCCCUCUCUUAUCGUCUUAGCGGCUAAGAUCCCUCUUCCGGCGAUCCUCCGGUCGCCGAUCCAACCGGUGUCACCACUUUCCCACAUCUUUCUCAUUUCCUCCAGUAUCAGUAAAUGGACCACUAUGACUUUCAAGCACAGAGAAGGGAG
This 221-nucleotide unclassified non-coding RNA is filed under the name Hevea brasiliensis (rubber tree). The record is from RNAcentral. Lineage: Eukaryota; Viridiplantae; Streptophyta; Magnoliopsida; Malpighiales; Euphorbiaceae.